Molecule: ribosomal RNA, 382 nt
Filed under: uncultured bacterium
Lineage: Bacteria
Description: bacterial SSU rRNA
Rfam family: Bacterial small subunit ribosomal RNA
Source: RNAcentral
GACGAACGUUGGCGGCGUGCCUAAUACAUGCAAGUCAACUGAAAUACCGGUAGCAAUACUGGUAUGGAGGUGGCGCACGGGUGAGUAACACGUAGGUAAUCUGCCUUCAGGUCUGACAUAACCCAUCGAAAGGUGAGCUAAUAUCAGAUGAUGCAGCGGCUUGACAUCAAGACAGUUGUUAAAGCUUCGGCGCCUGAAGAUGAGCCUGCGUCUGAUUAGCUAGUUGGCGGGGUAACGGCCCACCAAGGCUGCGAUCAGUAGCUGGUCUGAGAGGAUGAUCAGUCACACUGGAACUGAGACACGGUCCAGACUCCUACGGGAGCAGCAGUAAGAAUAUUGCUCAAUGGCCGAAAGGCUGAAGCAGCAACGCCGCGUGAGGGAU